Molecule: ribosomal RNA, 488 nt
Filed under: Dyella sp. EPN116
Lineage: Bacteria; Pseudomonadati; Pseudomonadota; Gammaproteobacteria; Lysobacterales; Rhodanobacteraceae
Description: bacterial SSU rRNA
Rfam family: Bacterial small subunit ribosomal RNA
Source: RNAcentral
UGGCUCAGAUUGAACGCUGGCGGCAUGCCUAACACAUGCAAGUCGAACGGCAGCACAGCAGUAGCAAUACUGUGGGUGGCGAGUGGCGGACGGGUGAGUAAUGCAUCGGGACCUACCUAGACGUGGGGGAUAACGUAGGGAAACUUACGCUAAUACCGCAUACGUCCUACGGGAGAAAGCGGGGGAUCUUCGGACCUCGCGCGGUUAGACGGACCGAUGUUCGAUUAGCUAGUUGGUAGGGUAAUGGCCUACCAAGGCGACGAUCGAUAGCUGGUCUGAGAGGAUGAUCAGCCACACUGGAACUGAGACACGGUCCAGACUCCUACGGGAGGCAGCAGUGGGGAAUAUUGGACAAUGGGCGCAAGCCUGAUCCAGCAAUGCCGCGUGUGUGAAGAAGGCCUUCGGGUUGUAAAGCACUUUUAUCAGGAGCGAAAUACUACUGGCUAAUAACCGGUGGGGCUGACGGUACCUGAGGAAUAAGCACCGGC